RNAcentral lists this ribosomal RNA (301 nucleotides) under uncultured bacterium. Its description in RNAcentral is "partial 16S ribosomal RNA". It matches the Rfam family "Bacterial small subunit ribosomal RNA", at positions 509 to 807 of the family's 1533-position model. The record is from RNAcentral.
CAGUAGCCGCGGGAAUACGAAGGGGGCUAGCGUUGUUCGGAAUUACUGGGCGCAAAGCGUGCGUAGGCGGUUCGUUAAGUCUGUUGUGAAAGCCCCGGGCUCAACCUGGGAAUGGCAAUGGAUACUGGCGAGCUAGAGUGUGUCAGAGGAUGGUGGAAUUCCCGGUGUAGCGGUGAAAUGCGUAGAGAUCGGGAGGAACAUCAGUGGCGAAGGCGGCCAUCUGGGACAACACUGACGCUGAGGCACGAAAGCGUGGGGAGCAAACAGGAUUAGAUACCCGUGUAGUCCCUGUCUCUUAUAC